RNAcentral lists this ribosomal RNA (574 nucleotides) under Salmonella enterica subsp. enterica. Its description in RNAcentral is "partial 23S ribosomal RNA". It matches the Rfam family "Bacterial large subunit ribosomal RNA", at positions 1241 to 1797 of the family's 2925-position model. The record is from RNAcentral. Lineage: Bacteria; Pseudomonadati; Pseudomonadota; Gammaproteobacteria; Enterobacterales; Enterobacteriaceae.
CUGUAAGCCUGUGAAGGUGGCCUGUGAGGGUUGCUGGAGGUAUCAGAAGUGCGAAUGCUGACAUAAGUAACGAUAAAGCGGGUGAAAAGCCCGCUCGCCGGAAGACCAAGGGUUCCUGUCCAACGUUAAUCGGGGCAGGGUGAGUCGACCCCUAAGGCGAGGCCGAAAGGCGUAGUCGAUGGGAAACGGGUUAAUAUUCCCGUACUUGGUGUUACUGCGAAGGGGGGACGGAGAAGGCUAUGUUGGCCGGGCGACGGUUGUCCCGGUUUAAGCGUGUAGGUGUGUGUUCCAGGUAAAUCCGGUUCACUUUAACACUGAGGCGUGAUGACGAGGCACUACGGUGCUGAAGCAACAAAUGCCCUGCUUCCAGGAAAAGCCUCUAAGCAUCAGGUAACAUCAAAUCGUACCCCAAACCGACACAGGUGGUCAGGUAGAGAAUACCAAGGCGCUUGAGAGAACUCGGGUGAAGGAACUAGGCAAAAUGGUGCCGUAACUUCGGGAGAAGGCACGCUGACACGUAGGUGAAGUGAUUUACUCAUGGAGCUGAAGUCAGUCGAAGAUACCAGCUGGCUGC